CAACAUCUUGUUUUUACAGUGGUUUUCAAGCACACAUCUGUUUUCCUUAAUUGUUUUUUUAAAGUUAUUUAAAGCCCAUUCUCACGCAUAGUGGCCCUCCACUAACUACAACCCUUCCAAGUUGCUGUGGUCUGCUGGCCCGCUGUUUGACUACUCCACAGGUUUAUGAUAAUCAGGAGCAGCUUAGAGAGGAGGAUUCAGACUUUAUUCUGAAUGAUGGUGACCUCACUCUGACAUAUGGUGAUACGACAAUAACUGCUAAUGGUUCUUCUGGCUCCCGCACUGCUACCACUAGCCUUGAUGGCAGGAAAACAAAAAGUAGUUCAGAGGAAGCAUUGGAACAUGAUCUGGGAAUGGGAGAUAAUGAAGUUACAAGCAGGGGCACCCGACUAGUAUUUCCUUUGGAAGACAAUGCAUGACUGCUGCCUCAGUAAAAAUACAGCUGUAGCCCCGUGGAUGGGUCAAGGAAUACUGCAGGCCCCAGUGUCACUUGAGGUGGGAAUGCUUACAGAAUUGAACUAACCUGUCUGUUUAUAAGUGGUUUUACUAAAGUCUGAAGACACCAACCUUGACUUUUUUUUUUUUUUAACUCAAGAUGCUGACAGUGGGUUUUUAAAUGUCUAAACUAGAGAAAUGGGGAAAUUGUCAGUCUCCUCUCACAAAACUGCAUACUGAAUCUAAGUAGAAUUAGCAUCCUGCAGUUCUCUCAUUCAGCUGCAACACCUUUCUGAGAAUAGGUAUGUGAGAAUGUUACCCAGCGGAACCAAGCUAAUUCAGGCUGGGUGGAGUUCUAGUUUGGUUUGGGAAUGAUGGAGGGGAAACCCAAACAAAAGUCUAGUUAUUCUGAGACUUAAAGGUAUGGGUGCAUGUCUGAUUUUUUGGGUGGUCCAGUGUUAAAUUGCUCUCUGAAAAGCUUGAAACUAUGUAUAAAAGGGAACAGUAUGUACUAGGAGUACAGAUGCAUGAAUGCAACAUUUUUCUGGGAUUUGUUACUAUAUGACAAACUGCACUGAAUUACUUCAGGAAAAAGGGAAAACAGCACAACUUCCUCACUGGCAACAUGUAGUAGGUACAGUUUAGAAUAAUUCAGUAUUUAAAGAGGGAGGCAGUGAAUGAUGUUUAGUCCCCUAGCUUUGGACAACUUGAGUAUUACUGUUCGCAUAUUUUCUAGCACAUCACAAGAGAAAACUUCUUAGUGUCCAAGACUGAAAUGCCUGACUCAAGCCCUUACCUAGGCUCUGAUUUAAAAAACCACUUGUUCUCUCAUUAGGUUGUUAAAAAUCAGAUGAAGGAAGCCAGAACCCAGUUUUUUUGAUGGGAGAUAGGGCAGAUAGUGGUAUUACUUACAGUGAAGCUGGAAAGCAGUAUUUGAACAUACAUGAAACCAAAAGGUUCCAUAUUGAGAUGGGAAGUAUCCUGGAAUCUGCUUUGCUUGCUUGUUAGGUGUGAUGGUUUAAACUGCAAAUGUUUUUACUUCAGAAGGGGAAGAUAAUACUAUAAACUUAACCAUUUGUGGUUAUUACAUCUGAAGAAAGGUGUUUAUAUUCAUUCUCUUUUGCAGAGUACAUGUGAACGUUCAGCGAGGCACCACACAAUAUAUAAACUGGGCACAUGGUAGACAUACUAUAGUCCCAUCUGAAAUGUGAAAAGGGGAAAAAUGUCUUUGCCCAUGUUCAUGUAGACUUGCUUUAACUUAUUGCUUAAGGCUUUUUGAUUCCCAGCUCUGUAGCUAUUAGUGACUUCUGGUGUAUUAAAGCAAAUAGUUGAAAUCUAUUCCCUCCUAAACAGCAGCUCAGCUACUGAAGCAUGCGUUAAAAUGGUGUAAAGUUUUACUUUCAUGACUCAAAAUGGUUUAGAAAAUGUUAUUUUUUAAACUGGCAUUUUGUGGCCCACUAUUAAAAUAUAAUAUCAGUUUGCUAAAGUGCAUUUUUUUACCUGCCACUUCAGUUUGUUCCUUUCCCAUAAAAUUUAUCUAUGAAUAAAAAUCCAUUCUGUGUUUUUCCUUAA
Non-coding RNA from Chelonoidis abingdonii (Abingdon island giant tortoise), 2007 nucleotides. The record is from RefSeq and is a predicted model, not a curated record. NCBI's taxonomy places the organism in Eukaryota, Metazoa, Chordata, Testudines, Testudinidae.